RNAcentral lists this microRNA precursor (134 nucleotides) under Glycine max (soybean). RNAcentral's name for it is "miR396j stem-loop (gma-MIR396j)". Its record names the gene gma-MIR396j. The record is from miRBase by way of RNAcentral. Lineage: Eukaryota; Viridiplantae; Streptophyta; Magnoliopsida; Fabales; Fabaceae.
GGUUUUCGUGAUCUUCCACAGUUUUCUUGAACUGCAUGUGUGUUGUGAGGCUUCUCCAGUGAAGGUUUAUCUCCUAUGCAAGUGCAGAUAUUCUAUGAGCACAAUUCAAGAUAGCUGUGGAAAAUCACUGAGAU